This 443-nucleotide ribosomal RNA is filed under the name uncultured bacterium. Its description in RNAcentral is "partial 16S ribosomal RNA". It matches the Rfam family "Bacterial small subunit ribosomal RNA", at positions 338 to 795 of the family's 1533-position model. The record is from RNAcentral.
CCUACGGGAGGCAGCAGUGGGGGAUAUUGGACAAUGGGGGGAACCCUGAUCCAGCGACGCCGCGUGAGUGAAGAAGUAUUUCGGUAUGUAAAGCUCUGUCAGCAGGGAAGAAAGAAAUGACGGUACCUGACCACGAAGCCCCGGCUAACUACGGGCCAGCAGCCGCGGUAAUACGUAGGGGGCAAGCGUUAUCCGGAAUUACUGGGUGUAAAGGGAGCGUAGACGGUUAAGUAAGUCUGGAGUGAAAGGCCGGGGCCCACCCCCGGGACUGCUCUGGAAACUAUUGAACUUGAGUGCAGGAGAGGUAAGCGGAAUUCCUAGUGUAGCGGUGAAAUGCGUAGAUAUUAGGAGGAACACCAGUGGCGAAGGCGGCUUACUGGACUGUAACUGACGUUGAGGCUCGAAAGCGUGGGGAGCAAACAGGAUUAGAUACCCGGGUAGUC